CUAGCCUAGCUUGAAUAUUUCUUUAUAAAAGCAAAGAUUUUCUACCUCCUGUAAGCUGGUUACGCUUAACGCCCACUUACUUAAAGACUCGUUGGUUCACGACUCUAUAAAUGAAAAUAAGAAUUGGAGUCGUUACCUACAGAAGCAGUUGCCCUUCUCCGGAUUUACCCGGUGAGGGUGGCGCUUGUGAGUCAAAGUUGAGACUUUCAAUGUAUGUUUGGCAUCCUGGGAGAGUAGUCCUAGGUACUGAAGUGACUCCCGGGUAGAGAAAUAAAGUGCUGGCAGAAAGGAACUCUCAAAGCAUGGGGUUUCGCCGGGCGAAGCUCCUAUCCCCCAAGGCUGUUGUCGGCAUUUCCGUUCUUUGCAUGUUAGCACUUUUACCUGACCCUUCGUCACUACUUUCUGAUCAUGUGGAUGCCGCUCUUAGAGAAUCCGCGAAAGGACACUGUGAGGGGGAUGGGUCCUAGCUACUUCUUUCAUACCAAGAAAGAUAAGAAGGGAUGCUUGCUAUCAUUCCAGUGCCACUGUCCAAUCUGUGAGUCCAUAUUAUGGAAUAUAAUUCCCAAGCAAAGGAUUAGAAGGUAAGGUGCCAAGUUAAAGGCAAAGCUUAGUCGGAUUUUUCCCCUACCCCUAGGUUAACUACCUUUAGCUUUCGAUAAGACAGUUCAAGCAGAAGACUAACUUGAGGAUGUCACGUGGAAGCUUUCCUAAAUCCAUUUGACCGGAGCCGGGAUAAAAACUACUUAUAUAUGUAAGGAUAUACCACCAAACCUGUGAGCCUUCCCAAAUUCAACAGAUUCCACUAUAGCAAACUCUUCAGAUCAGGAAUCGCCUUUCUUUUCUAUUUUCUUUCACGCCCUGAGCCUGAGCUAACUCAUUUAUCUUUCGGUCUAGUCCAGUUCGGCGUAGCUCCAAGCGAAAACAUAAAAGAAUUCUCUGAGUAGAUCCAUGUACUGUCAAAUCUCUUUCAUUUGAGAAGCUUGCACUUAGGAAUACAGGGCGAGGAUUGUCAACAGUCCCGAGAUCCAUUUACUUGACCUCGUCCUCUUUAGGGGGCGCAGGCUCUACAUCCUAUUCUUGAACUGACUCUCGUCUCUUUGCUCUUUGUUUUACGUUUAUAGACAAUUGGUUGGAAGAGAUCUGAAAGAAAGAUCUCCAGAACUUUCGGCGUCAGACAAAGUUUUCGGCGCAGGGAGCGGAGUUGGCAGGUAGCCCAAGCCUAUGUUUUUUGAGAUCGACGUACUGGCCGGCUAGCCAAGCUUCCCUUUCUUCUUCACUUAGAUGCGGCUCGAGGGG
This 1296-nucleotide long non-coding RNA is filed under the name Cicer arietinum (chickpea). RNAcentral's name for it is "long non-coding RNA (CARI_LNC003771)". The record is from RNAcentral. Lineage: Eukaryota; Viridiplantae; Streptophyta; Magnoliopsida; Fabales; Fabaceae.